RNAcentral lists this unclassified non-coding RNA (270 nucleotides) under uncultured Orbiliales. RNAcentral describes it as "sequence contains 5.8S rRNA gene, ITS2, 28S rRNA gene". The record is from RNAcentral. Lineage: Eukaryota; Fungi; Ascomycota; Orbiliomycetes; Orbiliales.
AACGCACAUUGCGCCCCAUGGUAUUCCGUAGGGCAUGUCUGUUUGAGCGUCAUUACAACACCUCGUUAACAAUUAGUUUUGUGCAACGGUUUUGAGCUCGGUCACCUAACGGUUUCCGGCUUUAAAGUUGAACGCUCUGCGGGUCACACUGCCAAACUUUACAUAGUAAAACUAUUCUGUAACGGUUAGAAAGUGAAGACUUCCGCCUGAAAAAUAACCUCUCUCUUAAGGUUUGACCUCAGAUCAGACAAGGAUACCCGCUGAACUUAA